Molecule: ribosomal RNA, 119 nt
Filed under: Pteropus alecto (black flying fox)
Lineage: Eukaryota; Metazoa; Chordata; Mammalia; Chiroptera; Pteropodidae
Source: RNAcentral
GUCUAUGGCUAUGCCAUACUGAACUUGCCCAAUCUCGUCUGAUCUCGGAAGCUAAGCAGGGUCAGGCCUGCUUAGUUCUUGGAUGGGAGACCACGUAGGCAUACCAGGUACUGUAGGCG